This 508-nucleotide ribosomal RNA is filed under the name Allenhyphes flinti. RNAcentral describes it as "partial 16S ribosomal RNA". It matches the Rfam family "Bacterial large subunit ribosomal RNA", at positions 1807 to 2606 of the family's 2925-position model. The record is from RNAcentral. Lineage: Eukaryota; Metazoa; Arthropoda; Insecta; Ephemeroptera; Leptohyphidae.
UCAAAAACAUUUCCUUUUGAGAGGAUGAAAGGUAUAACCUGCCCCCUGAGAAUUAAAUGGCCGCGGUAUUUUGACCGUGCAAAGGUAGCAUAAUCAUUAGUUUUUUAAAUGAGGACUGGAAUGAAAGGUUGAACGAGAAAUAUAUUGUCUCUUUUUUACGACUAAAAUUUUAUUUUAUAGUGAAAAGGCUAUAAUGAUGUAGGAGGACGAGAAGACCCUAUAGAGCUUUAUAAAUAAUUCUUGUUAAAUUGGAAAAAGUUUUAACGAUAUUAUGUUUAUUAAAUUGGGGUGAUAAUAGAAUAAAUAAACUUCUAAAAAAAGAAACAUUUUAGGUGGAUAAAAGAUCUCAAGAAAAUAGAGAAUAAGUUACCUUAGGGAUAACAGCGUAAUCCUUUCGGAGAGUUCAAAUUGAUGAGAGGGAUUGCGACCUCGAUGUUGGAUUAGAGGGAAUUACGGGGCAGCCCCUGUAAGGUUAGGUCUGUUCGACCAAUAAAUUUCUACAUGAUCU